RNAcentral lists this ribosomal RNA (449 nucleotides) under uncultured bacterium. RNAcentral describes it as "bacterial SSU rRNA". It matches the Rfam family "Bacterial small subunit ribosomal RNA", at positions 29 to 524 of the family's 1533-position model. The record is from RNAcentral.
AACGAACGCUGGCGGCAGGCUUAACACAUGCAAGUCGAACGAUGUAGCAAUACAUAGUGGCGCACGGGUGAGUAAUACUUGGGAACGUGCCUUUCAGUUCUGAAUAACGUCGGGAAACUGACGCUAAUACAGAAUAUUCUCUCCGGAGGAAAGAUUUAUCGCUGAAAGAUCGGCCCAAGCCAGAUUAGGUAGUUGGUGGGGUAAAAGCCUACCAAGCCUACGAUCUGUAGCUGGUCUGAGAGGACGACCAGCCACACUGGAACUGAGACACGGUCCAGACUCCUACGGGAGGCAGCAGUGGGAAUAUUGGACAAUGGGCGAAAGCCUGAUCCAGCCAUGCCGCGUGAGUGAUGAAGGCCUUAGGGUUGUAAAGCUCUUUUGUCAGGGAAGAUGAUGACGGUACCUGAAGAAUAAGCACCGGCUAACUUCGUGCCAGCAGCCGCGGUAAU